UUGACCUCGGAUCAGGUAGGAAUACCCGCUGAACUUAAGCAUAUCAUAAACCGGAGAGA
This 59-nucleotide ribosomal RNA is filed under the name Trichoderma harzianum. RNAcentral describes it as "partial 28S ribosomal RNA". Lineage: Eukaryota; Fungi; Ascomycota; Sordariomycetes; Hypocreales; Hypocreaceae. The record is from RNAcentral.